Molecule: long non-coding RNA, 338 nt
Filed under: Prunus persica (peach)
Lineage: Eukaryota; Viridiplantae; Streptophyta; Magnoliopsida; Rosales; Rosaceae
Description: long non-coding RNA (PPER_LNC002465)
Source: RNAcentral
AAAUUAGGCCCUAAAUAAUCUACAUCGAACAGAAGCUCCUUAGGUUGACCUAACGGUACUCUAGGGUUUCCCUAUAGAGCUAUAGUCACCACAGGGUGAGAUGAAGAUUCGGCGGGGAUGUCGCCUCGGGCAGAGGUAGAGGUCUCCGAAUGAUAGCUGACAUGCCGAUCCGGCAACCGCAUAUCCCUUAUCAGAAAUUCGCAGUAUUGGCUAGUGCUGGCACAAACCUCGCCGCACGGCACCACAGCCAACAGAACCACCUCGUUCGAUUGCAUAACUUUUCCCCUGCCGAAGGACGGCACGACCUUAAUUCUCUCACUGACAAGCUCCACUUCGGC